RNAcentral lists this ribosomal RNA (377 nucleotides) under uncultured organism. RNAcentral describes it as "partial 16S ribosomal RNA". It matches the Rfam family "Bacterial small subunit ribosomal RNA", at positions 527 to 897 of the family's 1533-position model. The record is from RNAcentral.
GUAGGUGGCAAGCGUUGUCCGGGAAUUAUUGGGGCGUAAAGCGCGCGCAGGCGGUUCUUUAAGUCUGAUGUGAAAGCCCACGGGCUCAACCGUGGGAGGGUCAUUGGAAACUGGAGAACUUGAGUACAGAAGAGGAAAGCGGAAUUCCACGUGCAGCGGUGAAAUGCGUAGAGAUGUGGAGGAACACCAGUGGCGAAGGCGGCUUUCUGGUCUGUAACUGACGCUGAGGCGCGAAAGCGUGGGGAGCAAACAGGAUUAGAUACCCUGGUAGUCCACGCCGUAAACGAUGAGUGCUAAGUGUUAGGGGGUUUCCGCCCCUUAGUGCUGCAGCUAACGCAUUAAGCACUCCGCCUGGGGAGUACGGCCGCAAAGGCUGA